GAUCAUUUGAAUUAAGAACAGGAUGGCUUAUUUCAGCAAUAAAGAUGAAGCAGAUGUCAACUGGAACAGAGAAGACUGAAUGAACUGUGAGAUGAACCUU
Long non-coding RNA from Elgaria multicarinata webbii, 100 nucleotides. RefSeq lists it as uncharacterized. The transcript is spliced from 3 exons. NCBI's taxonomy places the organism in Eukaryota, Metazoa, Chordata, Lepidosauria, Squamata, Anguidae. The record is from RefSeq and is a predicted model, not a curated record.